RNAcentral lists this ribosomal RNA (497 nucleotides) under uncultured bacterium. Its description in RNAcentral is "partial 16S ribosomal RNA". It matches the Rfam family "Bacterial small subunit ribosomal RNA", at positions 28 to 507 of the family's 1533-position model. The record is from RNAcentral.
GAUGAACGCUGGCGGCGUGCCUAAUACAUGCAAGUCGAGCGAACAGACGAGGAGCUUGCUCCUCUGACGUUAGCGGCGGACGGGUGAGUAACACGUGGAUAACCUACCUAUAAGACUGGGAUAACUUCGGGAAGCCGGAGCUAAUACCGGAUAAUAUAUUGAACCGCAUGGUUCAAUAGUGAAAGACGGUUUUGCUGUCACUUAUAGAUGGAUCCGCGCCGCAUUAGCUAGUUGGUAAGGUAACGGCUUACCAAGGCAACGAUGCGUAGCCGACCUGAGAGGGUGAUCGGCCACACUGGAACUGAGACACGGUCCAGACUCCUACGGGAGGCAGCAGUAGGGAAUCUUCCGUAAUGGGCGAAAGCCUGACGGAGCAACGCCGCGUGAGUGAUGAAGGUCUUCGGAUCGUAAAACUCUGUUAUUAGGGAAGAACAAAUGUGUAAGUAACUAUGCACGUCUUGACGGUACCUAAUCAGAAAGCCACGGCUAACUACGUG